This is a long non-coding RNA of Hipposideros armiger (great roundleaf bat), 1454 nucleotides long. RefSeq lists it as uncharacterized. The record is from RefSeq and is a predicted model, not a curated record. Lineage: Eukaryota; Metazoa; Chordata; Mammalia; Chiroptera; Hipposideridae. The transcript is spliced from 3 exons.
AGAAGAAGCUCAAUUAAUGCACCAGGCACUAUCUUGUUCCAUUCUUUGAUGGCUUAAGGAGGUGGUUGAUGAAUUAAGAAAAUGAAGGCCCAAGAAAGGAAGCUGUGAUCAAGGUGAAGAGAAAAACCUCCAAGGAGUUAGACCUGAGUCUUUGUAGUUGUUGGAGGCAAUGUUUGCUUUUCUCUUUCGGAUCCUGAAACAAGUCCAGGAUCACAGUGCUCUGGGGACAGAAUCUCCCUUCUGCAAGAGUUCCAGAAAGUUCUAUCUCAGUUACGUGGCUUGAAGGACUGGAAUCACCAGAGUUCCGUUUCGACAAGGUUUUGACCUCACCUUCCUUAGCAGACACCAGAGCACUUUGGAAUUUCUCUUCCUGUCAAGCAGGAGCCUCUUUAUCAUGCCCUCCUCUCCCUUACGCCUUCCCUACCUGCCGCAAGUACCUGCAAAGCCUGUAGAAAGGAAGUCAUCCAGCUGAUACAGGGAAAUGCUUUGAAGGCAUUUCGGAAAUUACAUCCUACUCAUGCAUGUUUCCUGGGGCAGGGCGGUUUCAGCUGGGCGAGAAGAGAUGGAAAAGGCAGGCAUUUCCCACACACAGCCUACAACUCUUAGUUAGGCGGCUGCUCAGACGCGGAUGCGGCUUCUAACGUCAAAUGACAGUCAUGGUCAGGAAAGCCCAGGACGAGUCCUGAAGAUAGUCCUACAUGGCAGGGCCGUUCGGUCUUUCCUUUUCUGGCUCACGCAGUGUUCCCAUGAUGCAAAGAGUCACAGAGGGGAUUGGGAAGCUGCAGAUCAGAGGUGGGGGCUCAGCUCUCUGCCUGAAAAAAAAAAAGACAAUAAUAAAGGAACAGAGCAAAAUGGCAAAGUCUGACAAAUAGAAGUUGAGAAUAGGACUAAUAAAGGGAUUUGAGGCCAAAGCUGUGUGGAAGCCUCGGUUUCAAAACAAGAGAAAAAGGACACCUAUGUUUAUUCCCUGCGUCUCUGAUGGUCUGUUUGAAUCCUCCGCUCAGGCCUGACCAGGGUUAUGCGAAUAACUGCAGCAGUAAAACACACCGUUGCUUUGGAAGUUUUAUUCUUUCUUUAAGACAUAUCAAGUAAAUGUUAAUAAUGACAUCUGUUAUAGUUAUCCUUUCUAGUUUAAUAAAGUCAAAUGGCUUAUCCUGUACUUGCUAUAGGCUGAAUAUUUGUGUCCCUCACAAAAUUCAUUUGUUAAACCCUAACCAUGAUGGAAUCGGGAGGUCGGGGCCUUUGGGCGAUGAUGUCAUGGGGGUGGGGCCCUCAUGAACGGGAUUAGUGCCCUUAGAAAAGAGAUCGCCGAGAGCUCCCUCACCUCCUCUUCCCUGUGAGGACACACAGCAAGAAGACAUCCACCAGUGAACUUGGAGGACAGCCCUCACAGACACUGAAUCCGCUCACCCUUUGGCCUUGGAUUUCCCAGUCUCCAGAACUGUGAGAAAUAA